This 467-nucleotide ribosomal RNA is filed under the name uncultured bacterium. RNAcentral describes it as "partial 16S ribosomal RNA". It matches the Rfam family "Bacterial small subunit ribosomal RNA", at positions 29 to 507 of the family's 1533-position model. The record is from RNAcentral.
ACGAACGCUGGCGGCGUGCUUAACACCUGCAAGUCGAACGGAAAGGCCCUGCUUUUGUGGGGUGCUCGAGUGGCGAACGGGUGAGUAACACGUGAGUAACCUGCCCUUGACUUUGGGAUAACUUCAGGAAACUGGGGCUAAUACCGGAUAGGAGCUCCUGCUGCAUGGUGGGGGUUGGAAAGUUUCGGCGGUUGGGGAUGGACUCGCGGCUUAUCAGCUUGUUGGUGGGGUAGUGGCUUACCAAGGCUUUGACGGGUAGCCGGCCUGAGAGGGUGACCGGCCACAUGGGGACUGAGAUACGGCCCAGAGUCCUACGGGAGGCAGCAGUGUGGAAUAUUGCACGAUGGGCGGAAGCCUGAUGCAGCAACGCCGCGUGCGGGAUGACGGCCUUCGGGUUGUAAACCGCUUUCGCCGGUGACGAAGCGUGAGUGACGGUAAUGGGUAAAGAAGCACCGGCUAACUACGUG